GACGAACGCUGGCGGCGUGCUUAACACAUGCAAGUCGAACGAUGAAGCCGGAGCUUGCUCUGGUGAAUUAGUGGCGAACGGGUGAGUAACACGUGAGUAACCUGCCCUUGACUCUGGGAUAACUGCGGGAAACUGUAGCUAAUACCGGAUACGACCCUCGGAGACAUCUCCUGGGGGUGGAAAGAAUUUCGGUCAAGGAUGGACUCGCGGCCUAUCAGCUAGUUGGUGAGGUAAAGGCUCACCAAGGCGACGACGGGUAGCCGGCCUGAGAGGGUGACCGGCCAGCCUGGGACUGGGACACGGCCCAGACUCCUACGGGAGGCAGCAGUGGGGAAUAUUGGACAAGGGGCGCAAGCCUGAUGCAGCAACGCCGCGUGAGGGAUGACGGCCUUCGGGUUGUAAACCUCUUUUAGCAGGGAAGAAGCGAAAGUGACGGUACCUGCAGAAAAAGCACCGGCUAACUACGUGCCAGCCGCCGCCGUAA
This 484-nucleotide ribosomal RNA is filed under the name uncultured bacterium. Its description in RNAcentral is "partial 16S ribosomal RNA". It matches the Rfam family "Bacterial small subunit ribosomal RNA", at positions 28 to 523 of the family's 1533-position model. The record is from RNAcentral.